CCUACGGGAGGCAGCAGUGAGGAAUAUUGGUCAAUGGGCGCGAGCCUGAACCAGCCAAGUAGCGUGAAGGAUGACGGCCCUACGGGUUGUAAACUUCUUUUAUAAGGGAGUAAAGUGAGGCACGUGUGCCUUUUUGUAUGUACUUUAUGAAUAAGGAUCGGCUAACUCCGUGCCAGCAGCCGCGGUAAUACGGAGGAUCCGGGCGUUGUCCGGAUUUAUUGGGUUUAAAGGGAGCGUAGAUGGGAUGUUAAGUCAAGUGUGAAAGUUUGGGGCUCCACCUUAAAAUUGCCAUUGAUACUGGUAGUCUUGAGUGCAGUUGAGGUAUGCGGAAUUCGUGGUGUAGCGGUGAAAUGCUUAGAUAUCACGAAGAACUCCGAUUGCGAAGGCAGCUUACUAACCUGCCACUGACGCUGAUGCACGAAAGUGUGGGUAUCAAACAGGAUUAGAUACCCGAGUAGUC
This 460-nucleotide ribosomal RNA is filed under the name uncultured bacterium. RNAcentral describes it as "partial 16S ribosomal RNA". It matches the Rfam family "Bacterial small subunit ribosomal RNA", at positions 338 to 795 of the family's 1533-position model. The record is from RNAcentral.